AUUGAUAAGGUAAUGGUUUUAUUUGAACAUUUUGUUCUGCUUUUGAACAUUCUUUUACCAUCUAGGUGUUUUAUAUUCCUCCAUUAGCUUGCUCUUCCUGCUGGUCACGAGAAGGACGAAGAUACCGCUGACACAGUGGGUUGCUGUUCACUAAGAUAUGAGCACAUAAAACUUCAUAAAC
Molecule: long non-coding RNA, 181 nt
Organism: Xenia sp. Carnegie-2017
Lineage: Eukaryota; Metazoa; Cnidaria; Anthozoa; Malacalcyonacea; Xeniidae
Exons: 3
Source: RefSeq, a predicted model, not a curated record